RNAcentral lists this ribosomal RNA (253 nucleotides) under uncultured bacterium. RNAcentral describes it as "partial 16S ribosomal RNA". It matches the Rfam family "Bacterial small subunit ribosomal RNA", at positions 524 to 776 of the family's 1533-position model. The record is from RNAcentral.
UACGUAGGUGGCAAGCGUUGUCCGGAUUUAUUGGGCGUAAAGCGAGUGCAGGCGAUUCAAUAAGUCUGAUGUGAAAGCCUUCGGCUCAACCGGAGAAUUGCAUCAGAAACUGUUGAACUUGAGUGCAGAAGAGGAGAGUGGAACUCCAUGUGUAGCGGUGGAAUGCGUAGAUAUAUGGAAGAACACCAGUGGCGAAGGCGGCUCUCUGGUCUGCAACUGACGCUGAGGCUCGAGAGCAUGGGUAGCGAACAGG